CGCUGGCGGCGUGCCUAAUACAUGCAAGUCGAACGAUCUUUCUAUGGAAGCUUGCUUCCACUGAGAAGAUAGUGGCGAACGGGUGAGUAACACGUGGGUAACCUGCCCAUAAGAGGGGGAUAACAUCCGGAAACGGGUGCUAAUACCGCAUAGUUUUCUUGAUCGCAUGAUCGGGAAAGGAAAGACGGCCUUUGUGCUGUCGCUUAUGGAUGGACCCGCGGCGUAUUAGUUAGUUGGUGAGGUAACGGCUCACCAAGACGAUGAUACGUAGCCGACCUGAGAGGGUGAUCGGCCACAUUGGGACUGAGACACGGCCCAAACUCCUACGGGAGGCAGCAGUAGGGAAUCUUCCGCAAUGGACGAAAGUCUGACGGAGCAACGCCGCGUGAGUGAAAGAAGGUUUUCGGAUCGUAAAACUCUGUUGUCAGAGAAGAACAAGUUGGAGAGUAACUGCUCCAGCCUUGACGGUAUCUGACCAGAAAGCCACGGCUAACUACGUGCCAGCCGCCGC
This 511-nucleotide ribosomal RNA is filed under the name uncultured bacterium. Its description in RNAcentral is "bacterial SSU rRNA". It matches the Rfam family "Bacterial small subunit ribosomal RNA", at positions 34 to 518 of the family's 1533-position model. The record is from RNAcentral.